This 445-nucleotide long non-coding RNA is filed under the name Prunus persica (peach). RNAcentral's name for it is "long non-coding RNA (PPER_LNC002927)". The record is from RNAcentral. Lineage: Eukaryota; Viridiplantae; Streptophyta; Magnoliopsida; Rosales; Rosaceae.
GACAAACACCAAAUGUAGCACAGGAGCUUUUGGCAAUUAAGUUACAAAGGUCAUCAAUCGACAGAAAUUCCAUGGGUCUUGGAUCUAUAUAUCAUUCUCAAUACAUAAAGUUUAAGACUCCCUACAAUCAUUCUCAAUACAUAAAGUUUAAGACUCCCUACAAUCAAUUUCACUCCUACUCUCCACUGUUAAUGCAUGAAGCUGUCAGAAAAGUACCUUGACCCAUGAUAAAAUAACACUAAAAUUUACUAAACUGUAAUUACACAUAAUCUUCUAAAUCUAGGUAAAGUCAUAUGAAAUUUUGAAAGUAGUCCAGCAUUGACAUACAAUCUAAAGAGUCAUAAACGAUAAACAUUGACUGAAAGAGCCUCGUUGAUUUCAAUUGGGUUGAGGAGCGGCUCCAUUCGUCAGUGAGGUUUAUUUAGAUUUGGUAUUUUGGUUCUUG